RNAcentral lists this long non-coding RNA (354 nucleotides) under Ictidomys tridecemlineatus (thirteen-lined ground squirrel). RNAcentral's name for it is "lncRNA (ENSSTOG00000031717.1)". The record is from RNAcentral. Lineage: Eukaryota; Metazoa; Chordata; Mammalia; Rodentia; Sciuridae.
GAAUACAAGGCAUUUCAACAGGCACCAGGUCUUCAAGUGCAGCCUGAAGCAGGACCAACCCCCAAGUACUUCAUCCUCUGGCCACCAUGGGGGCUAGGACAACUUUAUCUUCUUUCUGGGUUUGCACUCUUUUGCCGAGACAGGGAUUUUGUCCCCAGGAGGCAUUCCCCAGCCCAUGGGAUCUCAGCAUUCAAAGCAGCACAGGAAACCUGGGCCCCUGAAACGGGGCCACCGAAGAGAUCGGAGAACAACCAGGAGGAAGUACUGGAAGGAAGGAAGGGAGAUCGCUGGGUGAGCUGUCAGGGAAGGAGGGAAGGGAGGAUCAUCUUCAGGGGAUUGUGAGGGGAGGUGUGG